Molecule: ribosomal RNA, 407 nt
Filed under: uncultured bacterium
Lineage: Bacteria
Description: partial 16S ribosomal RNA
Rfam family: Bacterial small subunit ribosomal RNA
Source: RNAcentral
AUUGAACGCUAGCGGCAGGCCUAACACAUGCAAGUCGAGCGGAGCGGCGGACGGGUGAGUAAUGCCUAGGAAUCUGCCUGGUAGAGGGGGAUAACGUCCGGAAACGGGCGCUAAUACCGCAUACUAUCAGAUGAGCCUAGGUCGGAUUAGCUAGUUGGUGUGGUAAAUGCCUACCAAGGCGACGAUCCGUAACUGGUCUGUGAGGAUGAUCAGUCUCCCUUGAACUGAGUCACGGUCCAGACUCCUUCGGGCGGCAGCAGUGGGGAAUAUUGGGCAGUGGGCGAAAGCCUGAUCCAGCCAUGCCGCGUGUGUGAAGAAGGUCUUCGGAUUGUAAAGCACUUUAAGUUGGGAGGCGUUACCAACAGAAUAAGCACCGGCUAACUUCGUGCCAGCAGCCGCGGUAAUUC